ACUCCUACGGGAGGCAGCAGUAGGGAAUCUUCCACAAUGGGCGCAAGCCUGAUGGAGCAACACCGCGUGAGUGAAGAAGGGUUUCGGCUCGUAAAGCUCUGUUGUUAAAGAAGAACACGUAUGAGAGUAACUGUUCAUACGUUGACGGUAUUUAACCAGAAAGUCACGGCUAACUACGUGCCAGCAGCCGCGGUAAUACGUAGGUGGCAAGCGUUAUCCGGUAUUUAUUGGGCGUAAAGAGAGUGCAGGUCGGUUUUCUAAGUCUGAUGUGAAACGCCUUCGGCUUAACCGGAGAAGUGCAUCGGAAACUGGAUAACUUGAGUGCAGAAGAGGUAGUGGAACUCAUGUGUAGCGGUGGAAUGCGUAGAUAUAGUGGAAGAACACC
Molecule: ribosomal RNA, 385 nt
Filed under: uncultured bacterium
Lineage: Bacteria
Description: bacterial SSU rRNA
Rfam family: Bacterial small subunit ribosomal RNA
Source: RNAcentral